AGUGGAUGGGGAGCAACCUAGUUGUGCGUGUGUAAAGGUAGUGCCAAGAAAAGCGAUGAUCAUGUUGAAAAUCAAUUCCCGGUACCCGAAACCGACACAGGUGGGCAAGUAGAGAAUACUAAGGGGCGCGAGGUAACUCUCUCCAAGGAACUCGGCAAAAUGACCCCGUAACUUAUGGAGAAGGGGUGCCACCGAGAGGUGGUCGCAGUGAAGAGGCCCAGGCGACUGUUUAGCAAAAACAUAGGUCUCUGCAAACUCGAAAGAGGAGGUAUAGGGGCUGACGCCUGCCCAGUGCCGGAAGGUUAAAGAAGUUGGUCAGUUUUAGGAUGAAGCUAGCGACUGAAGCCCCGGUGAACGGCGGCCGUAACUAUAACGGUCCUAAGGUAGCGAAAUUCCUUGUCGGGUAAGUUCCGACCCGCACGAAAGGCGUAACGAUCUGGGCGCUGUCUCGGAGAGAGGCUCGGCGAAAUAGGAUUGUCUGUGAAGAUACGGACUACCUGCAUUUGGACAGAAAGACCCUAUGAAGCUUACUAUAGCUUGGAAUUGUGUUCGGGCUUCCUGUGCGCAGGAUAGGUGGGAGGCGAAGAAGGUAUUCUUGUGGGGAUACUGGAGCCAACGGUGAGAUACCACUCUCAGGAGGCUAGAAUUCUAACUUAAUUAAGGACAGUUUCAGGUGGGUAGUUUGACUGGGGCGGUCGCCUCCAAAAAGGUAACGGAGGCGUACAAAGGUUCCCUCAGACUGGUUGGAAAUCAGUCGCAGAGUGCAAAGGCAGAAGGGAGCUUGACUGCGAGAAGUACAGUUCGAGCAGGGUGGAAACACGGUCUUAGUGAUCCGACGGUGCUGUGUGGAAGGGCCGUCGCUCAACGGAUAAAAGUUACUCUAGGAUAACAGGCUGAUCUCCCCCAAGAGUUCACAUCGACGGGGAGGUUUGGCACCUCGAUGUCGGCUCAUCGCAACCUGGGGCGGAAGUACGUCCCAAGGGUUGGGCUGUUCGCCCAUUAAAGCGGUACGUGAGCUGGGUUCAGAACGUCGUGAGACAGUUCGGUCCAUAUCCGAUGUAGGCGUGAGAAUAUUGAGAGGAGCCUUCCUUAGUACGAGAGGACCGGGAAGGACGCACCGCUGGUGUACCUGUUAUGAUGCCAAUUGUAAACGCAGGGUAGCCAAGUGCGGAGAGGAUAACCGCUGAAAGCAUCUAAGUGGGAAGCCCACCUCAAGAUGAGUAUUCUGGUGUAAGGUCACGGGAAGACGACCCGUAAAUAGGCACGAGGUGGAAGUGCAGAGAUGUAUGAAGCCGAAGUGUACUAAUAGACCGUCGGUUUGACCC
RNAcentral lists this ribosomal RNA (1325 nucleotides) under metagenome. Its description in RNAcentral is "bacterial LSU rRNA". It matches the Rfam family "Bacterial large subunit ribosomal RNA", at positions 1561 to 2925 of the family's 2925-position model. The record is from RNAcentral.